Molecule: ribosomal RNA, 681 nt
Filed under: Brevundimonas diminuta
Lineage: Bacteria; Pseudomonadati; Pseudomonadota; Alphaproteobacteria; Caulobacterales; Caulobacteraceae
Description: bacterial SSU rRNA
Rfam family: Bacterial small subunit ribosomal RNA
Source: RNAcentral
UCGAACGGACCCUUCGGGGUUAGUGGCGGACGGGUGAGUAACACGUGGGAACGUGCCUUUAGGUUCGGAAUAGCUCCUGGAAACGGGUGGUAAUGCCGAAUGUGCCCUUCGGGGGAAAGAUUUAUCGCCUUUAGAGCGGCCCGCGUCUGAUUAGCUAGUUGGUGAGGUAACGGCUCACCAAGGCGACGAUCAGUAGCUGGUCUGAGAGGAUGACCAGCCACACUGGGACUGAGACACGGCCCAGACUCCUACGGGAGGCAGCAGUGGGGAAUCUUGCGCAAUGGGCGAAAGCCUGACGCAGCCAUGCCGCGUGAAUGAUGAAGGUCUUAGGAUUGUAAAAUUCUUUCACCGGGGACGAUAAUGACGGUACCCGGAGAAGAAGCCCCGGCUAACUUCGUGCCAGCAGCCGCGGUAAUACGAAGGGGGCUAGCGUUGCUCGGAAUUACUGGGCGUAAAGGGCGCGUAGGCGGAUCGUUAAGUCAGAGGUGAAAUCCCAGGGCUCAACCCUGGAACUGCCUUUGAUACUGGCGAUCUUGAGUAUGAGAGAGGUAUGUGGAACUCCGAGUGUAGAGGUGAAAUUCGUAGAUAUUCGGAAGAACACCAGUGGCGAAGGCGACAUACUGGCUCAUUACUGACGCUGAGGCGCGAAAGCGUGGGGAGCAAACAGGAUUAGAUACCCUG